Molecule: long non-coding RNA, 830 nt
Organism: Dioscorea cayenensis subsp. rotundata (Guinea yam)
Lineage: Eukaryota; Viridiplantae; Streptophyta; Magnoliopsida; Dioscoreales; Dioscoreaceae
Exons: 3
Source: RefSeq, a predicted model, not a curated record
UCCGACCCUUGUCACCUCCGCGCGCAGAGCCUAUCCCCCACCUUUCCAGCCCUCCUAACCUCCGCGUGCAGAGCUUCUCCUCCACCUCUCCAGCCCUCAUCACCUCCGCGCACAGCGCCUCUUCUCCACCUCUCCAACCCUCAUCACCUCCACGCGUAGAGCCUCAUAAAGCCCCCCCCUCGAACCCCGCAGUUGGUGCCUCUGUCAUCAUGCACAGCACCCCUUUUCUCUUCACCACUCCACCUCCCAUCACCUCAAUUUCAUCCUCUUACAAGCCGCAUGCCGGCGAAAAUCUCUACCCGAACCUCUGCAACCUAAGGUUAGACAAAGCCUCGUCACCAAAAAUCUAGUUCGGCCAUUUCGAGGGAUGUCGAGAGGUGUCCAAUCAUAUGAGAGGGUGUCGGAUACAGUGUCCCACCGUGUCGAUGGCGUAUCCGUGUUGGACAUCGGCACGACACCGGUACGUCGGCUGUUUUGUCGUGUCCGUGCUUCACAGGAUUGAGCAAGGAUCGGCAUUCAAUUCACAUUCGUAGUGAUGGACUCUUUCAUAGACAAAGACCUGCGUAGGCGGGCAACCAGUGUACAACUUCACUGUAUUGUCAACCUUUAGUUUCUCAGGUACUACUGCGCAGGUGGGCAACUACUGUACCACUUUGCCGGAUUCUCAACCUGAGAAACAACCUUCAAUUUGUCAGAGUUUGGAUGAAGCUCACAGCAGCCCUGGGUUGCAUGCUGCUGGCGGACCAGGAUGAUCAUUUUUGGAUGAUCAUUUUUUUGCAACACAAUUAAGCAUCCAUGUUGAUGGCGAUUGUCGGAUCGACGUUCGGCGG